RNAcentral lists this long non-coding RNA (1151 nucleotides) under Sus scrofa (pig). Its description in RNAcentral is "lncRNA (ENSSSCG00060011300.1)". Lineage: Eukaryota; Metazoa; Chordata; Mammalia; Artiodactyla; Suidae. The record is from RNAcentral.
AUUGGGCUGGGGAUUGAACUUGUGCCUCUGCAACAACCCAAGCUUCUGCAGUUGGAUUCUUAAAUCACUGUGCCAUGGUGAGAGCUCCUCAGUGUUUAGUUAGUUCGGCAUGCCGAAGUUCCCGGGCCAGAGAUUGAACCUGUUUGCUUUUAUAUUACUCAGUUGCAGUUACCAAAAAAAAAAGAAAGAAAAAUCUAAGCUCUGGUGGUCAUAAAGCAUUUACAGUUUCUUAAAUUUGUUCAUUUUAAACAUUUAUCUCAUUAAGGCUAAGAAGGAAGCAGCGGUACUCUAAAAGAUUAUAAUCUUAACUACAUGGUAAACCAUGAAAUGACAUAAAAGUCAAGCAGUUCUUUAUUCAGUUCACUUUUAUUUUUCCUUUGUGUCCUGGAGCCAAUAUACAUAGCCCUGAUUUAUUUUUAGUGUUAAAUAUUGGCAGAUACUAUGAGUCAUAACCCAAGUCGAUUUCCGUAACGACAGUAGUGGUAUAUAGAAAAAUCCAUUUCAAUACCACGGACCUCUGUGAUUUAUUGUUGACCCUCUAUAACUAUGGUUCUUCCAUCCCCGUAGAUAAAACCAACUGGGAAUCCUGUCGUCCUGUAGCGUUUUCUCUCAAAAAAUAUUUUUAUACAGGUGGAACUGUGAAGUUCAAACCCAUGCUGUUCAGCGGUCAACUGAGAAAAACUAUACAGUGUUAACAAUUUUGUGCAUUUAUUUGUGCUAUUUAUGUGUACGAUUUAAUAGAAUAUUUAUAUGUACAAUCCCUGGAAUGUUCCUUUUUUCAUUUAGUUUUUACAUGAAAGCAUCCACGAUGAAGUCGUUAAUAGACUUACAAAGGCCUAUGCUCAGAUCCGUGUUGGGAACCCAUGGGAUGCUAAUGUUCUCUAUGGGCCACUCCACACCAAACAGGCAGUGAGCAUGUUUCUUGGAGCAGUGGAGGAAGCAAAGAAGGAAGGUGGCAUAGUGGUCUAUGGUGGCAAGGUAAUGACAACUGGACCUCAGCAGUGACAGGUUUUUACUUUCCCUUUUGCACAAGCAGGGCUCUGGGUAAGCUGGUAAAGGGUCCUCCACUGCCAGUUUUCUUUUUUCCAUCCCUUUUGUGAUGGGAAGUACAUGCUUUAAAAAAUGGCAAUGUAGGGAGUUUCCAUUGUGGC